Molecule: long non-coding RNA, 1257 nt
Organism: Raphanus sativus (radish)
Lineage: Eukaryota; Viridiplantae; Streptophyta; Magnoliopsida; Brassicales; Brassicaceae
Exons: 2
Source: RefSeq, a predicted model, not a curated record
CACCUUUUACUAUUUUUCUCUCCCAAAUUUUGAUUUGUUGAUUAAUGUUUCCAUUAAUUGUUGAAACAAUUAUUUCUAAGUAUUCACACUGCAAUCGAGUUCAACCAUAAUACUUUUUCUGAAUAUAUAAAGGAAUUUGCAUAUCUGAAUCCAAAUUAAAUUUUUAAUUCAAACAAGGUUGACUAUGCAAUUUUUCAUCAAGACUUAACAUUUCAUUAUAAUGUAAUAAAAAGAAAACUAUAUCAUAAACUCAACAAACUAAAAGUAAGCUGGAUUAGUUUUGUUUUGAAUGUGUGUGUGUUUUCAGAAAAUAUGUUAGAUAAAAUAACAUAAAAAUGUCAGUAAAGUGUUAUUUUAAACUGCAAAAAAUACCUAAACAGUAAAUUUAUUUUAUUCAUCACAUUCAAAUUUAUACAUAAAUUAAGUUUUUUAUUCGAAAGAAUUAAUGGAUCAAAUCAAUCAUUUUUUAUAGAUCCUAUUUAUUUUUGAAAUACUACAAACAUGUUUCAAUUUUAUAAUAAUAUCAGAUAUUGUUUUGCUUUCUACAACCGAUUUAUUUCAAUGUGGACACCUCUAAUAUUAUGUGCUUUGUAUAAUAUCUAAAAAAUAUUUGUUCAGAUCGCCAAUUAUGACACUGAUCAAAUAAUUUAUAAAAAAGUAAAUUGGCCCGUGCGUAGCCGGGCAGUAAUACUAGUAAUUAUAAAUUUGCGUUUCCUUGUUAUGAAAGGGACAACACAUGCGUGUUCUUAACGCGUAUCGAUUCUCUAGUUCCUCCCUAAGCCAAUCUACCAGUUCGUGUGUGUUUUCAAAAAGUUUAUCUACGUUCUAAUACAACCCUCCUAGCCCGUUUUGGGAGGUAUUAACGCCGGAAGAAGAGGAACAGACAAAACCGCACAACGAGAUUGUGGAUUGUGGUGGACUCUCUCUUACCUUUUACUAUUUUACAAUACUAGUUUUAUAUUUACUCUCCAGAAAUAGAGAAUAAAAACGAGAUAAGUGUAAUUUUGAAAACUACGUACAUUUGGACCCACUCUUUGUCACAGCGACAUUUGCGCGCGUUCUCCACGUCAGUCUUUGCCAUUUACUCCACUGUUGCUGUCCCAUGCGCCAUUUCAAUGCGAUUACUAACGGCUAGUUAAACCUAUGUUUAUAUUCUACUAGCGUCGGCCCGCCCCACGGGCGGGAUGGUAAUUUGAAAGUAAUUGAAACAGUUAGAAUAAAUAUUUAAUAUAAAACUUGAUUAACUUAAAACUUAAA